CCUACGGGUGGCAGCAGUAGGGAAUAUUGCUCAAUGGGGGAAACCCUGAAGCAGCAACGCCGCGUGGAGGAUGAAGGUUUUCGGAUUGUAAACUCCUUUUGUUAGAGAAGAUAAUGACGGUAUCUAACGAAUAAGCACCGGCUAACUCCGUGCCAGCAGCCGCGGUAAUACGGAGGGUGCAAGCGUUACUCGGAAUCACUGGGCGAAAAGAGCGCGUAGGCGGGAUAGCAAGUCAGAUGUGAAAUCCUAUGGCUUAACCAUAGAACUGCAUUUGAAACUGUUAUUCUAGGGUAGGGGAGAGGGAGGUGGAAUUCUGGGUGUAGGGGUAAAAUCGGUAGAGACAAGGAGGAUUA
This 353-nucleotide ribosomal RNA is filed under the name uncultured bacterium. RNAcentral describes it as "partial 16S ribosomal RNA". It matches the Rfam family "Bacterial small subunit ribosomal RNA", at positions 338 to 708 of the family's 1533-position model. The record is from RNAcentral.